This 1364-nucleotide ribosomal RNA is filed under the name uncultured bacterium. Its description in RNAcentral is "bacterial SSU rRNA". It matches the Rfam family "Bacterial small subunit ribosomal RNA". The record is from RNAcentral.
AGAGUUUGAUCCUGGCUCAGGACGAACGCUGGCGGCGUGCUUAACACAUGCAAGUCGAACGAGAAUCUACUGAAAGAGUUUUCGGACAAUGGAUGUAGAGGAAAGUGGCGGACGGGUGAGUAACGCGUGAGGAACCUGCCUUGAAGAGGGGGACAACAGUUGGAAACGACUGCUAAUACCGCAUGACGCAUAGAGGUCGCAUGAUCUUUAUGCCAAAGAUUUAUCGCUUCAAGAUGGCCUCGCGUCUGAUUAGCUGGUUGGCGGGGUAACGGCCCACCAAGGCGACGAUCAGUAGCCGGACUGAGAGGUUGAACGGCCACAUUGGGACUGAGAUACGGCCCAGACUCCUACGGGAGGCAGCAGUGGGGAAUAUUGGGCAAUGGGCGCAAGCCUGACCCAGCAACGCCGCGUGAAGGAAGAAGGCUUUCGGGUUGUAAACUUCUUUUAAGAGGGAAGAGCAGAAGACGGUACUCUAGAAUAAGCCACGGCUAACUACGUGCCAGCAGCCGCGGUAAUACGUAGGUGGCAAGCGUUGUCCGGAUUUACUGGGUGUAAAGGGCGUGCACGGGUCUGCAAGUCAGAUGUGAACAUGGGCUCCCAUGAAACUGCAUUUGAAACUUAGAUCUUGAGUGUCGGAGGGGCAAUCGGGAAUUCCUUAGUGUAGCGGUGAAAUGCGUAGAUAUUAGGAGGAACCCAGUGGCGAGGCGGGAUUGCUGGACAUACUGACGGUGAGGCGGGAAAGGGGAGCAACAGGAAUUAGACCCUUGUAUCCCACUAAACGAAGGAAUUAAGGUGUGCGGGGGACUGCCCCUGCGUGCCGCAGUAACCACAAUAAGUAUUCCACCUGGGGAGUACGAUCGCAAGGUUGAAACUCAAAGGAAUUGACGGGGGCCCGCCCAAGCGGUGGAUUAUGUGGUUUAAUUGAAGCAACGCGAAGACCUUACCAGGGUUUGACAUCCUGCUAACGAAGUAGAGAUACAUUAGGUGCCCUUCGGGGAAAGCAGAGACAGGUGGUGCAUGGUUGUCGUCAGCUCGUGUCGUGAGAUGUUGGGUUAAGUCCCGCAACGAGCGCAACCCCUAUUGUUAGUUGCUACGCAAGAGCACUCUAGCGAGACUGCCGUUGACAAAACGGAGGAAGGUGGGGACGACGUCAAAUCAUCAUGCCCCUUAUAUCCUGGGCUACACACGUAAUACAAUGGCGGUCAACAGAGGGAAGCAAAGCCGCGAGGCAGAGCAAACCCCCAAAAGCCGUCCCAGUUCGGAUUGUAGGCUGCAACUCGCCUGCAUGAAGUCGGAAUCGCUAGUAAUCGCGGAUCAGCAUGCCGCGGUGAAUACGUUCCCGGGCCUUGCACACACCGCCCGUC